GACGAACGCUGGCGGCGUGCUUAACACAUGCAAGUCGAACGGAAAGGCCCUGCUUUUGUGGGGUGCUCGAGUGGCGAACGGGUGAGUAACACGUGAGUAGCCUGCCCUUGACUUUGGGAUAACUUCAGGAAACUGGGGCUCAUACCGGAUAGGAGCUCCUGCUGCAUGGUGGUGGUUGGAAAGUUUCGGCGGUUGGGGAUGGACUCGCGGCUUAUCCGCUUGUUGGUGGGGUAGUGGCUUUCCAAGGCUUUGACGGGUAGCCGGCCUGAGAGGGUGACCGGCCACAUGGGGACUGAGGUACGGACCAGACGGCUACGGGAGGCAGCAGUGGGGAAUAUUGCGCAAUGGGCGGAAGCCUGAUGCAGAAACGCCGCGUGCGGGAUGACGGCCUUCGGGGUGUAAACCGCUUUCGCCUGUGACGAAGCGGGAGUGACGGUAAUGGGUAAAGAAGCACCGGCUAACUACGUG
This 468-nucleotide ribosomal RNA is filed under the name uncultured bacterium. RNAcentral's name for it is "partial 16S ribosomal RNA". It matches the Rfam family "Bacterial small subunit ribosomal RNA", at positions 28 to 507 of the family's 1533-position model. The record is from RNAcentral.